Prinia subflava (tawny-flanked prinia) is the source of this 746-nucleotide long non-coding RNA. RefSeq lists it as uncharacterized. NCBI's taxonomy places the organism in Eukaryota, Metazoa, Chordata, Aves, Passeriformes, Cisticolidae. The transcript is spliced from 2 exons. The record is from RefSeq and is a predicted model, not a curated record.
UAAAAACUUUACCAGAGCCACAAUCCAGCGGGAUGACAGCAGCAGAGGGAGUGAACCCAAAACCCCAAACCUUGGCUCCUCUCCGAAUCCCGUAAGCAAAGCCCUGGCUCCAGGGAGGGCUGCAGGCAGCCAGGACACAGCCAGGAUCCAUAACUCCACAGAGGAAUUCCAGGACUCAGGGGGCCAGUAAAACGUGUUUAGGUGUUGCCUUUGAGAGCUGCUGCUCCUUUUCCAGCACUUCCAAGGUGGUCCCAUCCCUCCAUUCAUGCAGGUGAUGCUUCAGUGUGGUUUUGCUUCCCUGCAGCCCCCAUUUCCCCACCCCAAUGCCUGUCCCAAACCCCCCCCGGGGAUUUCCUGCCCCCACAAAUGCCCCCCACACCUCACACCCAUGGGAUGCACUCAGGGAAUGCAGUGCUCAGAACACCCAACUCGCUGCACCAGUGGAUUUAAACAUCACAUCCCAAACAAAUAAAAAAUACCACCCAAAUCCUCGAGAGGUGAGAUCCUUCAGCUGGAAACCAGAGAUUUGCUGGGAAAACCCUCCCAGGGCUGUUCCCAUGGGGGUGAUAAUGGUGCCACUCCCUGCUCCAUCUCAGGGGGGCAGGACCCAUCCCAAAGCUGCUGCAUUUAUAGCUCAGCUCAGCUUAUUUACAGCCCCACGAAAUUUCCUACAUCUCCAUCUGCUCCUCUCGAAAAGCAGAAGUAAGAAAAAAUAAAAGACAAAUAAAGCCAUGAGAGCAGCUCUA